AAUUGUAAGUAUUUAAAACAUUUAUAACUCUUUUUAAACCAUUUUAAAACUCUAGUGAACCCUUACAAAAUGUUUUAAAAAGAUUUACAAGAGUUUUUAAAAGAUUUUAAAAGAAUUUAUAAGAAAACUCUUGUACAUCUUUUAAAACCCUUGAAAAAUUCUUUGUAAAUCUUUUAAAACACUUUUAAACCCUUUAAAAAUCUUUAAAAAAACCUUUGUAAGUCUUUUAAAGCCUUUUAAAAUCCCUUGUAAAUCUUUUAAAACCCUUUUAAAAUCCUUUGUAAAUCUUUUAAACCCUUUCAAAAUCUCUUGUAAAUCUUUUAAAAUCUUUUAAAACCUUUUUAAAAUCCCUUGAAAAUCUAUUUUCCGCCAAAAUAAAAAUUUCGUAAAAUGUUU
RNAcentral lists this small RNA (396 nucleotides) under Arabidopsis thaliana (thale cress). Its description in RNAcentral is "ATSL278360". The record is from RNAcentral. Lineage: Eukaryota; Viridiplantae; Streptophyta; Magnoliopsida; Brassicales; Brassicaceae.